GCCGCGUUAGCCCAAUUAGCAGAGGCGCUCCGCUUAGAACGGAGAUGUUGAGAGUGCGAGUCUUUCACGCGGCA
This 74-nucleotide transfer RNA is filed under the name Pedosphaera parvula Ellin514. It matches the Rfam family "tRNA". Rfam says of the family: Transfer RNA (tRNA) molecules are approximately 80 nucleotides in length. Their secondary structure includes four short double-helical elements and three loops (D, anti-codon, and T loops). Lineage: Bacteria; Pseudomonadati; Verrucomicrobiota; Pedosphaerae; Pedosphaerales; Pedosphaeraceae. The record is from Rfam by way of RNAcentral.